UGGCGGCAGGCCUAACACAUGCAAGUCGAGCGGUAACAGAAAGUAGCUUGCUACUUUGCUGACGAGCGGCGGACGGGUGAGUAAUGCUUGGGAACAUGCCUUGAGGUGGGGGACAACAGUUGGAAACGACUGCUAAUACCGCAUAAUGUCUACGGACCAAAGGGGGCUUCGGCUCUCGCCUUUAGAUUGGCCCAAGUGGGAUUAGCUAGUUGGUGAGGUAAUGGCUCACCAAGGCAACGAUCCCUAGCUGGUUUGAGAGGAUGAUCAGCCACACUGGAACUGAGACACGGUCCAGACUCCUACGGGAGGCAGCAGUGGGGAAUAUUGCACAAUGGGCGAAAGCCUGAUGCAGCCAUGCCGCGUGUGUGAAGAAGGCCUUCGGGUUGUAAAGCACUUUCAGUCAGGAGGAAAGGGUGUGAGUUAAUACCUCACAUCUGUGACGUUACUGACAGAAGAA
Molecule: ribosomal RNA, 457 nt
Filed under: marine sediment bacterium ISA-1315
Lineage: Bacteria
Description: bacterial SSU rRNA
Rfam family: Bacterial small subunit ribosomal RNA
Source: RNAcentral